AGAGUUUGAUCAUGGCUCAGGAUGAACGCUAGCUACAGGCUUAACACAUGCAAGUCGAGGGGGAAACGACAUCGAAAGCUUGCUUUUGAUGGGCGUCGACCGGCGCACGGGUGAGUAACGCGUAUCCAACCUGCCCACCACUUGGGGAUAACCUUGCGAAAGUAAGACUAAUACCCAAUGACGUCUCUAGAAGACAUCUGAAAGAGAUUAAAGAUUUAUCGGUGAUGGAUGGGGAUGCGUCUGAUUAGCUUGUUGGCGGGGUAACGGCCACCAAGGCUACGAUCAGUAGGGGUUCUGAGAGGAAGGUCCCCACAUUGGAACUGGAGACACGGUCCAAAACUCCUACGGGGAGCA
RNAcentral lists this ribosomal RNA (354 nucleotides) under uncultured bacterium. RNAcentral describes it as "bacterial SSU rRNA". It matches the Rfam family "Bacterial small subunit ribosomal RNA", at positions 8 to 350 of the family's 1533-position model. The record is from RNAcentral.